Molecule: ribosomal RNA, 55 nt
Filed under: Neonectria galligena
Lineage: Eukaryota; Fungi; Ascomycota; Sordariomycetes; Hypocreales; Nectriaceae
Description: partial 18S ribosomal RNA
Rfam family: Eukaryotic small subunit ribosomal RNA
Source: RNAcentral
UGGAAGUAAAAGUUGUAACAAGGUCUCCGUUGGUGAACCAGCGGAGGGAUCAUUA